AUUGAACGCUGGCGGCAUGCUUUACACAUGCAAGUCGAACGGUAACAGGCCGCAAGGUGCUGACGAGUGGCGAACGGGUGAGUAAUGCAUCGGAACGUGCCCAGUCGUGGGGGAUAACUACUCGAAAGAGUAGCUAAUACCGCAUACGAUCUAUGGAUGAAAGCGGGGGACCGGAAGGCCUCGCGCGAUUGGAGCGGCCGAUGUCAGAUUAGGUAGUUGGUGGGGUAAAGGCUCACCAAGCCAACGAUCUGUAGCUGGUCUGAGAGGACGACCAGCCACACUGGGACUGAGACACGGCCCAGACUCCUACGGGAGGCAGCAGUGGGGAAUUUUGGACAAUGGGCGCAAGCCUGAUCCAGCAAUGCCGCGUGCAGGAAGAAGGCCUUCGGGUUGUAAACUGCUUUUGUACGGAACGAAACGGCUCUGGUUAAUACCCGGGGCUAAUGACGGUACCGGAAGAAUAAGCACCGGCUAACUACGUG
This 482-nucleotide ribosomal RNA is filed under the name uncultured bacterium. RNAcentral describes it as "partial 16S ribosomal RNA". It matches the Rfam family "Bacterial small subunit ribosomal RNA", at positions 30 to 507 of the family's 1533-position model. The record is from RNAcentral.